UAGGAUGUGGCUGAGAUUUAUAGGCGCUAAAUUGUAAAUUUAGAAACGGAGUAUUCCCCUCCUAA
This 65-nucleotide transfer RNA is filed under the name Calantica studeri. RNAcentral's name for it is "tRNA-Tyr". The record is from RNAcentral. Lineage: Eukaryota; Metazoa; Arthropoda; Thecostraca; Calanticomorpha; Calanticidae.